Molecule: small RNA, 125 nt
Filed under: Marmota monax (woodchuck)
Lineage: Eukaryota; Metazoa; Chordata; Mammalia; Rodentia; Sciuridae
Source: RNAcentral
GCUGGGUGCAGUGGCCCACGCCUGUAAUCCCAGGGGCUCCGGAGGCUGAAACAGGAGGAUGGUGAGUUCAAAGCCAGCCUCAGCAAUGGUGAGGCACUUGGCAACUCAGUGAGAUUCUGUCUCUA